AGAGUUUGAUCCUGGCUCAGGAUGAACGCUAGCUACAGGCUUAACACAUGCAAGUCGAGGGGAACGACAUCGAAAGCUUGCUUUUGAUGGUCGUCGACCGGCGCACGGGUGAGUAACGCGUAUCCAACCUGCCCAUCACUUGGGGAUAACCUUGCGAAAGUAAGACUAAUACCCAAUGAUAUCUCUAGAAGACAUCUGAAAGAGAUUAAAGAUUUAUCGGUGAUGGAUGGGGAUGCGUCUGAUUAGCUUGUUGGCGGGGUAACGGCCCACCAAGGCAACGACCAGUAGGGGUUCUGAGAGGAAGGUCCCCCACAUUGGAACUGAGACACGGUCCAAACUCCUACGGGUGGCAGCA
This 355-nucleotide ribosomal RNA is filed under the name uncultured bacterium. RNAcentral describes it as "bacterial SSU rRNA". It matches the Rfam family "Bacterial small subunit ribosomal RNA", at positions 8 to 353 of the family's 1533-position model. The record is from RNAcentral.